ACCGAAUAGAUACCCUGGUAGUCCACGCCGUAAACGUUGGGCGCUAGGUGUGGGGGUCCUUCCACGACCUCCGUGCCGCAGCUAAACGCAUUAAGCGCCCGCCUGGGGAGUACGGCCGCAAGGCUAAAACUCAAAGGAAUUGACGGGGCCCGCACAAGCGGCGGAGCAUGCGGAUUAAUUCGAUGCAACGCGAAGAACCUUACCAAGGCUUGACAUGCACAGGAAAGUUCCAGAGAUGGUUCCCCGGCAAGGUCUGUGCACAGGUGGUGCAUGGUUGUCGUCAGCUCGUGUCGUGAGAUGUUGGGUUAAGUCCCGCAACGAGCGCAACCCUUCGUCUUAUGUUGCCAGCACGUAAUGGUGGAACUCAUAAGAGACUGCCGGGGUCAACUCGGAGGAAGGUGGGAUGACGUCAAAUCAUCAUGCCCCUUAUGUCUUGGGCUUCACGCAUGCUACAAUGGCCGGUAC
This 465-nucleotide ribosomal RNA is filed under the name uncultured bacterium. RNAcentral's name for it is "bacterial SSU rRNA". It matches the Rfam family "Bacterial small subunit ribosomal RNA", at positions 772 to 1240 of the family's 1533-position model. The record is from RNAcentral.